This 22-nucleotide microRNA is filed under the name Schistosoma japonicum. RNAcentral's name for it is "miRNA-3025". Lineage: Eukaryota; Metazoa; Platyhelminthes; Trematoda; Strigeidida; Schistosomatidae. The record is from RNAcentral.
AGGGACAACUGCUUGAGGCCAA